This 551-nucleotide unclassified non-coding RNA is filed under the name Salix cinerea. RNAcentral describes it as "sequence contains ITS1, 5.8S rRNA gene and ITS2". The record is from RNAcentral. Lineage: Eukaryota; Viridiplantae; Streptophyta; Magnoliopsida; Malpighiales; Salicaceae.
AUGCUCGGGGGUCCGGGAGGUCCCGGGGGCGACAGGCACGCGCACGACCGUGUCCGAGGGUCUCUCAACCACCGCUUGUCGUGGCGACCGUCGCCGAGGACUCGAUUUUAGGCCAACCACGGGCGGGAGCGCGCGGGAGACCAGUAUCCGCCCCCGCCCUCGUGAGCCGAGGGGAGUGGGGGCGACGAUGCGUGACACCCAGGCAGACGUGCCCUCGACCAGGAGGCCUCGGGCGCAACUUGCGUUCAAAGACUCGAUGGUUCACGGGAUUCUGCAAUUCACACCAAGUAUCGCAUUUCGCUACGUUCUUCAUCGAUGCGAGAGCCGAGAUAUCCGUUGCCGAGAGUCGUUCAGAUUAUCACAAAAAGAAGGCGCGCCCCCGACACCGAGGCUACGAGGGCGUGCUCCUAGUACUCAAUUUCCUUGGCGCUUCUCGCGCCGGGGUUCGUUGGCGAGCCGUGUCGGGCGCAGAUGCGUCCCUCCACGGCACGCGUGGACACGAGGGGCGGGUGCCCCCCGAGCCCAGCUUGUCAUGCCACGGGUUCGCGGGU